AUGCUUCCCCGGAAGCGGGAGAUCGUCGCCGGCGAGGUCGAGGACUUGCAGAAGAAGACCCGCGCCGGGGAGGGGGAGGCCACCAGGGAGGAAGGAGACGCAGCCAUGGCAGGGAGGGGGAACGAGAUCGACGAGGACCUGCACAGUCGCCAGCUCGCCGUCUAUGGCCGCGAGACCAUGAAGCGCCUCUUCGGUUCCAACGUCCUCGUCUCUGGACUCCAGGGUCUCGGUGCUGAGAUCGCAAAGAACCUUGUCCUUGCGGGUGUCAAGUCUGUAACCUUGCAUGAUGAUGGUAAUGUGGAGCUGUGGGACUUAUCAAGCAACUUCUUCCUCUCGGAGAAUGAUGUUGGGCAAAACCGUGCUCAAGCUUGUGUACAGAAGCUACAAGAGCUGAACAAUGCUGUCCUCGUCUCUGCCUUAACCGGUGAUUUGACCAAGGAGCACCUUUCUAAAUUCCAGGCCGUUGUCUUCACUGAUAUCAGCUUAGAUAAAGCAAUUGAAUUUGAUGAUUACUGCCACAGCCACCAGCCACCCAUUGCUUUCAUCAAGUCUGAAGUUCGUGGUCUUUUUGGCAGUGUGUUUUGUGACUUCGGUCCUGAAUUUACUGUUUUGGAUGUGGAUGGUGAGGAACCACAUACAGGAAUUGUUGCAUCAAUCAGCAAUGACAAUCCAGCACUUGUAUCUUGUGUGGACGAUGAGCGUCUGGAGUUCCAGGAUGGUGAUCUAGUUGUUUUCUCUGAAGUCCAUGGAAUGACUGAGCUGAAUGAUGGAAAACCAAGAAAAGUUAAGAAUGCAAGGCCUUACUCUUUCUUCUUGGAAGAAGACACUUCCUCAUUUGGCGCAUACGUUAGAGGUGGUAUCGUCACACAGGUCAAGCCACCGAAGGUUAUUAAAUUCAAACCCUUGAAAGAGGCCAUGUCAGAGCCGGGAGAAUUUCUCAUGAGUGAUUUCUCCAAAUUUGAGCGGCCACCUCUUCUGCAUUUGGCAUUCCAAGCUUUGGAUAAGUUUAGGACUGAGUUGAGCAGAUUCCCUGUUGCUGGGUCCACUGAUGAUGUGCAAAGGGUGAUAGAGUAUGCUAUUAGCAUUAAUGGUACUCUGGGAGAUAGGAAACUUGAAGAAAUUGACAAAAAGCUCCUGCAUCAUUUUGCCAGUGGUUCCAGGGCUGUUCUGAAUCCUAUGGCUGCGAUGUUUGGUGGUAUUGUGGGUCAGGAGGUAGUGAAAGCUUGCUCAGGGAAAUUUCAUCCACUUUAUCAGUUCUUCUAUUUUGAUUCUGUCGAGUCUCUCCCUGUUGACCCCUUGGAGCCUGGUGAUUUGAAGCCGAAGAACAGUAGAUAUGAUGCUCAAAUCAGCGUAUUUGGAUCUAAGCUUCAAAACAAACUGGAGGCAGCAAAAAUCUUUAUGGUCGGUUCUGGGGCACUUGGAUGUGAGUUCUUGAAGAACCUGGCACUAAUGGGUAUUUCUUGCAGCCAGAAUGGAAAUCUGACUGUGACAGAUGAUGAUGUCAUUGAAAAGAGUAAUCUGAGCCGCCAAUUUCUUUUCCGUGACUGGAACAUUGGGCAACCUAAGUCCACAGUUGCUGCUACAGCUGCUAUGGUAAUUAAUCCUAAACUUCAUGUCGAGGCCCUCCAGAACAGAGCAAGUCCUGAGACUGAAAAUGUGUUUAAUGAUGCCUUCUGGGAGAACCUUGAUGCUGUUGUCAAUGCCCUUGACAAUGUUACUGCAAGAAUGUACAUAGACUCCAGAUGUGUAUAUUUCCAGAAGCCACUUUUGGAAUCUGGGACUCUGGGUGCUAAAUGCAAUACACAGAUGGUCAUCCCUCACCUAACAGAGAACUAUGGGGCUUCAAGGGAUCCACCUGAAAAGCAGGCACCUAUGUGCACUGUACAUUCAUUUCCUCAUAACAUUGAUCAUUGCCUAACCUGGGCUAGGUCUGAGUUUGAGGGUUUACUUGAGAAGACUCCCACUGAAGUAAAUGCUUUCCUGUCAAAUCCUACUACAUACAUAAGUGCAGCAAGAACUGCUGGUGAUGCACAGGCUAGAGAUCAGCUUGAACGUGUUAUUGAGUGUCUUGACAGAGACAAGUGCGAGACGUUCCAGGAUUCUAUUACCUGGGCCCGGCUUAAGUUUGAGGAUUACUUCUCCAACCGUGUGAAGCAGCUGACGUUCACUUUCCCAGAAGACUCAGUGACCAGCUCUGGUGCUCCUUUCUGGUCUGCGCCAAAGCGGUUCCCACGACCUGUGGACUUCUCGUCCAGUGAUCCAAGUCAGCUUAGCUUUAUUUUGGCUGCUGCAAUAUUGAGGGCAGAAACUUUUGGAAUACCCAUACCUGAGUGGGCCAAAACCCCAAACAAGCUGGCUGCUGAAGCUGUCGACAAGGUGAUUGUCCCGGAUUUCCAACCAAAGCAGGGGGUCAAGAUAGUUACAGAUGAGAAGGCCACUAGUCUAUCCUCUGCAUCUGUUGAUGACGCUGCUGUCAUUGAAGAGCUUAUUGCCAAGUUAGAAGAAGUUUCCAAAACACUGCCAUCAGGGUUCCACAUGAACCCAAUACAGUUUGAGAAGGAUGAUGACACAAACUUCCAUAUGGAUGUGAUAGCUGGUUUUGCCAACAUGAGGGCAAGGAACUACAGCAUUCCUGAAGUGGACAAGCUAAAAGCCAAGUUUAUAGCCGGCAGGAUCAUCCCAGCUAUCGCCACCUCGACCGCAAUGGCCACUGGCCUCGUCUGCCUUGAGCUUUACAAAGCCCUUGCUGGUGGACACAAGGUGGAAGACUACCGCAACACGUUUGCAAACCUCGCGAUUCCUCUCUUCUCCAUUGCUGAGCCGGUUCCACCCAAGACCAUCAAGCACCAGGAGCUGUCGUGGACGGUCUGGGACCGGUGGACUGUGACGGGCAACAUCACGCUGAGGGAGCUCCUGGAGUGGCUCAAGGAGAAGGGCCUGAACGCUUACAGCAUAUCCUGUGGCACCUCGCUGCUCUACAACUCCAUGUUCCCCAGGCACAAGGAACGGCUUGACAGGAAGGUAGUUGAUGUUGCCAGGGAGGUGGCCAAGAUGGAGGUGCCCUCUUACCGGCGUCAUCUCGACGUCGUGGUGGCGUGUGAGGAUGACGACGACAAUGAUGUCGACAUCCCACUUGUGUCGGUCUACUUCCGCUGA
RNAcentral lists this ribosomal RNA (3156 nucleotides) under Triticum aestivum (bread wheat). Its description in RNAcentral is "partial small subunit ribosomal RNA". Lineage: Eukaryota; Viridiplantae; Streptophyta; Magnoliopsida; Poales; Poaceae. The record is from RNAcentral.